Molecule: ribosomal RNA, 253 nt
Filed under: uncultured bacterium
Lineage: Bacteria
Description: partial 16S ribosomal RNA
Rfam family: Bacterial small subunit ribosomal RNA
Source: RNAcentral
UACGGAGGGUGCAAGCGUUAUCCGGAUUCACUGGGUUUAAAGGGUGCGUAGGCGGUCUGACAAGUCUGAUGUGAAAUCUAUGGGCUCAACCCAUAGUCUGCAUCGGAAACUGUCGGGCUUGAGUAUGGGAGAGGUGAGUGGAAUUUCCGGUGUAGCGGUGAAAUGCGUAGAUAUCGAGAGGAACACCGGUGGCGAAGGCGGCCUUCUGGACAGUGACUGACGCUGAGACGCGAAAGCGUGGGGAGCAAACAGG